UACGGGGGGGGCAAGCGUUGUUCGGAAUUACUGGGCGUAAAGGGUUUGUAGGCGGCCCGCUAAGUCGAACGUGAAAUCCCCGAGCUCAACUCGGGAACUGCGUCCGAUACUGGCGGGCUUGAAUCCGGGAGAGGGAUGCGGAAUUCCAGGUGUAGCGGUGAAAUGCGUAGAUAUCUGGAGGAACACCGGUGGCGAAGGCGGCAUCCUGGACCGGCAUUGACGCUGAGGCGCGAAAGCUAGGGGAGCAAACGGG
RNAcentral lists this ribosomal RNA (253 nucleotides) under uncultured bacterium. RNAcentral describes it as "partial 16S ribosomal RNA". It matches the Rfam family "Bacterial small subunit ribosomal RNA", at positions 524 to 776 of the family's 1533-position model. The record is from RNAcentral.